RNAcentral lists this ribosomal RNA (400 nucleotides) under uncultured bacterium. Its description in RNAcentral is "bacterial SSU rRNA". It matches the Rfam family "Bacterial small subunit ribosomal RNA", at positions 355 to 752 of the family's 1533-position model. The record is from RNAcentral.
UAAGGAAUAUUGGUCAAUGGACGCAAGUCUGAACCAGCCAUGCCGCGUGCAGGAUGACGGCCCUACGGGUUGUAAACUGCUUUUGUACGGGAAAAAACCUCCGGACGUGUCCGGAGCUGAUGGUACCGUAAGAAUAAGGAUCGGCUAACUCCGUGCCAGCAGCCGCGGUAAUACGGAGGAUCCUAGCGUUAUCCGGAUUCAUUGGGUUUAAAGGGUGCGUAGGCGGGAUAAUAAGUCAGUGGUGAAAGCUUCCGGCUCAACCGGAAAACUGCCAUUGAUACUGUUAACCUUGAGUGCGUUUGAAGUGGGCGGAAUGUGCAGUGUAGCGGUGAAAUGCUUAGAUAUUGCACAGAACACCGAUUGCGAAGGCAGCUCACUAAACCGUAACUGACGCUGAGGC